CCUACGGGGGGCACCAGUGGGGAAUAUUGCACAAUGGGCGCAAGCCUGAUGCAGCCAUGCCGCGUGUGUGAAGAAGGCCUUCGGGUUGUAAAGCACUUUCAGCGGGGAGGAAGGCGUUAAGGUUAAUAACCUUGGCGAUUGACGUUACCCGCAGAAGAAGCACCGGCUGACUCCGUGCCAGCAGCCGCGGUAAUACGGAGGGUGCAAGCGUUAAUCGGAAUUACUGGGCGUAAAGCGCACGCAGGCGGUCUGUCAAGUCGGAUGUGAAAUCCCCGGGCUCAACCUGGGAACUGCAUUCGAAACUGGCAGGCUAGAGUCUUGUAGAGGGGGGUAGAAUCCCAGGUGUAGCGGUGAAAUGCGUAGAGAUCUGGAGGAAUACAGGUGGCGAAGGCGGCCCCCUGGACAAAGACUGACGCUCAGGUGCGAAAGCGUGGGGAGCAAACAGGAUUAGAUACCCGUGUAGCC
RNAcentral lists this ribosomal RNA (465 nucleotides) under uncultured bacterium. RNAcentral describes it as "bacterial SSU rRNA". It matches the Rfam family "Bacterial small subunit ribosomal RNA", at positions 338 to 795 of the family's 1533-position model. The record is from RNAcentral.